Molecule: long non-coding RNA, 1093 nt
Organism: Homo sapiens (human)
Lineage: Eukaryota; Metazoa; Chordata; Mammalia; Primates; Hominidae
Gene: YEATS2-AS1
Product: YEATS2 antisense RNA 1
Source: Ensembl
AGGAAACAAACUCCUGUCCUAGGAGGAUUUCAUCUGGAGUGCAGCGUGCUGGUGACACGUGGGAACAGGCAGCGGCAAAGGUUGGGUAGCCAUGACAUGCCGAGUCACACUGGAAACCACCUCCUUCCCGAGCAGCAGGGUCCUCAGUUACAGCUUCGCUGUGCCUUCAAAGCCUGCUUCUCCAGGGCACCUCACUCCGCUCACUGGUCCUCAUUCAAUAUUCCCAUGUGUUUGUUUGUGAGGAAGUCCAGAAAAGGAAUGUUGCAAAUGGCCUGGUGAAUAUUACUCACUGUAAUUUCUUUGGGAAUCCUGGUCCAAAAAACAAAGGGUGUUACCAGGUGAAAUUCUCUCACGUAUAUCUCAUCAUUUAUUCACUUAACUCAUCACAGGGACCAUCCCAGGCAGAGGCCCCGUGGAGAGGGCUCCUGAGCCACAGACAUAGCUUAGGGCCACUCUGGGGUGAGGACUGCCUUCCUGUCAUAGGCAUGAGAAGGAUGUCAACAAGUUGGUUGAAUAAUUAGGAAAAAAGAUUCUGAGAACUGAGAAAAGAGAAAGAAAACAAAGCGGAUGGCAGAACGGAAUGACACAUUUGUGAGUGAGUCUCAGCAGACCGAAAGCUGAGUCAAAGCACCACAAAACUCUGGGACCUUAUUUCCCAUCUCCUAGAAAGACGGGAGACGGAGCCACGCCAGGCCAGGCGUGAUGUUAAUCGUUCCAUCAAAAGCACCUAAGUCACUCUACCCCUCCAGGACAGGGAGCACAGAGAUGGAGUCUCACUCUCGCGCCCAGGCUGGAGCGCAGUGGCGCGAUCUUGGCUCAGUGCAACCUCCGCCUCCCGGGUUCAAGCGAUUCUCCUGCCUCAGCCUCCCAAGUAGCUGGGAUUACCAGGCACCCACCUUCAGGAUCAUGUCCUCCACCACGGACGCAUACACGUUCCUGUGGAGUGCCACGGGCUGCAGGGUGAUCCCAAUCUGGAAAAGCAGAAGAAAGCCGUUUGUUCGUAUCGCUGCUUUAGAAACAGCCUCUCUCCAAACAAGCAUACCUCCCUGACAUGCAAAGCGAUGCCUGGUUGGAAGGAGGACUCUGCAAACAU